AUUGAACGCUGGCGGCAGGCCUAACACAUGCAAGUCGAGCGAGCGGCGGACGGGUGAGUAAUGUAUGGGGACUGCCCGAUAGAGGGGGAUAACUACUGGAAACGGUAGCUAAUACCGCAUACUAUCGGAUAACCCAUAUGGGAUUAGCUAGUAGGUGAGGUAAUGGCUCACCUAGGCGACGAUCCCUAGCUGGUCUGAGAGGAUGAUCAGCCAAACGGGGACGGAGACACGGCACAGACGCCUACGGAGGCAGCAGUGGGGAAUAUUGCAAAAUGGGAGCAAGCCUGAUGCAGCCAUGCCGCGUGUAUGAAGAAGGCCCUAGGGUUGUAAAGGACUUUUGGCAGAGAAGCGGUAUCUGCAGAAUAAGCACCGGCUAACUACGUGCCAGCAGCCGCGGUAAUUC
RNAcentral lists this ribosomal RNA (403 nucleotides) under uncultured bacterium. RNAcentral's name for it is "partial 16S ribosomal RNA". It matches the Rfam family "Bacterial small subunit ribosomal RNA", at positions 30 to 526 of the family's 1533-position model. The record is from RNAcentral.